This 231-nucleotide long non-coding RNA is filed under the name Gossypium raimondii (Peruvian cotton). Its description in RNAcentral is "long non-coding RNA (GRAI_LNC002159)". The record is from RNAcentral. Lineage: Eukaryota; Viridiplantae; Streptophyta; Magnoliopsida; Malvales; Malvaceae.
AAAGAAGCAAGAAAAGCCAAAAAGAAAAAAGAAGAAAUAAAGAAGAAAUAAAAGAGAGAAAAAAUGAUGGAGAACGUGAAAAAGAAAAAGAAAAUAAAAAAAUAAACAUUAAGAAAAAUAAAUAAUUAUUUUUUUACUUAAACAAAUCUAAUAGUUACAAAAUAAAAAAAAUACCUCUCCAAAACACACACACGAGGAAUUGAACCCAGAACCCAAAGGUACCAUUUUGAC